UACAGAGGUGGCAAGCGUUGUUCGGAAUUACUGGGCGUAAAGGGCGCGUAGGCGGUCUUGCAAGUCCUGUGUGAAAUCCCUCGGCUCAACUGAGGAACUGCACAGGAAACUGCUUGGCUUGAGUUCGGGAGAGGGAAGCGGAAUUCCGGGUGUAGCGGUGAAAUGCGUAGAUAUCCGGAGGAACACCGGUGGCGAAGGCGGCUUCCUGGACCGGUACUGACGCUGAGACGCGAAAGCCAGGGGAGCAAACGGG
This 253-nucleotide ribosomal RNA is filed under the name uncultured bacterium. RNAcentral's name for it is "partial 16S ribosomal RNA". It matches the Rfam family "Bacterial small subunit ribosomal RNA", at positions 524 to 776 of the family's 1533-position model. The record is from RNAcentral.